GGCUGAUCAGAGUGCAGCGAUGCUUGCAACUAUUUGAUCACAACCAGUUAACAACUAUUUGAUCAUAACCAGAUUUCUUUGUUCCUUCUCUACUUCCACUGCUUCACUUGACUAGACUCAA
Molecule: unclassified non-coding RNA, 121 nt
Organism: Microcebus murinus (gray mouse lemur)
Lineage: Eukaryota; Metazoa; Chordata; Mammalia; Primates; Cheirogaleidae
Rfam family: Y RNA
About the family: Y RNAs are components of the Ro ribonucleoprotein particle (Ro RNP), in association with Ro60 and La proteins.
Source: Ensembl